CUCCAGACUCCUACGGGAGGCAGCAGUGGGGGAUAUUGCACAAUGGGGGGAACCCUGAUGCAGCGACGCCGCGUGGGUGAAGGAGCACCUCGGUGCGUAAAGCCCUAUCGGCAGGGAAGAAAAGCGAACAGGUUCGCCUGGACGGUACCUGACUAAGAAGCCCCGGCUAAUUACGUGCCAGCAGCCGCGGUAAUACGUAGGGGGCAAGCGUUAUCCGGAUUCACUGGGUGUAAAGGGAGCGUAGACGGUGAAGCAAGUCUGAAGUGAAAGGCGGGGGCUCAACCCCCGGACUGCUUUGGAAACUGUUUGACUGGAGUGCAGGAGAGGUAAGUGGAAUUCCUAGUGUAGCGGUGAAAUGCGUAGAUAUCAGGAGGAACACCGGUGGCGAAGGCGGCCUGCUGGACUGCGACUGACGUUGAGGCCCGAAAGCGUGGGGAGCAAACAGGAUUAGAUACCCCUGUAUAC
This 465-nucleotide ribosomal RNA is filed under the name uncultured bacterium. Its description in RNAcentral is "partial 16S ribosomal RNA". It matches the Rfam family "Bacterial small subunit ribosomal RNA", at positions 329 to 795 of the family's 1533-position model. The record is from RNAcentral.